CGCAAUCUGCGGUGUUUGCUAGUUACUGGGGUACUCUUGAGCCUAAUAUCGAAACCCGGGUGCUUGAUGCAGUCUGUUGUUGUGCAAGUCCGCUACGAGCGGAAAGCCUGAUACAGGCCAUUGGCUCCCACCUGAACCGACUGGUUCAAGGUCAAAAGUAACGGCGGCACGCGUGGAGAGCGU
RNAcentral lists this non-coding RNA (183 nucleotides) under Gammaproteobacteria bacterium. Its description in RNAcentral is "6S RNA". It matches the Rfam family "6S / SsrS RNA". Rfam says of the family: E. coli 6S RNA was the first non coding RNA to be sequenced, but its function was unknown until recently. It consists of 184 nucleotides that fold into an extended hairpin structure with a large single-stranded internal bulge. The record is from RNAcentral. Lineage: Bacteria; Pseudomonadati; Pseudomonadota; Gammaproteobacteria.